RNAcentral lists this long non-coding RNA (958 nucleotides) under Equus asinus (donkey). RNAcentral describes it as "lncRNA (ENSEASG00005032806.1)". The record is from RNAcentral. Lineage: Eukaryota; Metazoa; Chordata; Mammalia; Perissodactyla; Equidae.
CUUGGUUAGAAAGGCACUCCCUACCGCCCCGCCUCCGGAAAACCGGUAUUAGAUCUGCUUCGCACUAUCCAUUAAAAUGCUCGCUUUUUUUUAUCUAUUCCUAAGUUUCCAUGAGCUUGACUAAUGUAAGUCUUCCUGACAAAUUAGGUUUCUGGGUCAGUAAGCUGUCUUAGUAUGUUUGGGCGGCAGACUGGGUGGCUUAUAAACAACAAACUUCUCACAGUUCAGGAGUCUGGGAAGUCCAAGAUCAAGGCUCCAGCAGGUUUGUUGUCUGAGAGGCUCUUUUCUCCUAGGACUGACUUUGAAACUGUGUGAGGAGCUGCCAGAUGCCAUUCUGUCAUCACUUGGACGGUGCCUUAUAAACACCUCUCAACUAACCAGCAAAGAGCGACUUGGUUUAUUGAUGGUGGUUGUAAGGUAAAUGGACAACAUCCUCUUUGAAGGCCACUACUCUGAUCCAAGAAGAAAUUGUGCAGACUAAUUCAAGGAUGGAAAAUGCAUAGCACUUGUGCUACCACUCUACCUGCACAUCCCUGUGGCACAUAUUGACAGUUGAUAGCAAACUCAUUCUCAUUCAGCCUGAACUCAGCCUCCGAUUCCUUCUUAACACAGAAUUCCAGGCAUUCACUAUCAAUCAGUUGUAGUUGUCACAAAGUGGACAUAUUUGAAAUAAAUGCUUUUAGGAAAAAUGUCACAGAAUAAUAUGGUUCUAGAGUUGGUGAAUAAGGAAGAAAUUUUUGUCUCUCUCUGCAAAAUAAAAAUAUCUUUUGGGAAUUGUUCUAAGGUAAUUAGUUGUGUGAAGUCGAUUAUGUUUAUAGUCUUAAAAAGUAUAUUUUCCUAUGCUUUUUUUACCUUAAAAUCCAAAUUAUCAAAGUAGAUUCAUUUCUUUUUUCUUUUUUAAAUUGGCACCUGAGCUAACAACUGUUGCCCAUCUUCUUUUUUUUUUCCCUGCUUUUUU